RNAcentral lists this ribosomal RNA (330 nucleotides) under Triticum aestivum (bread wheat). RNAcentral's name for it is "partial small subunit ribosomal RNA". Lineage: Eukaryota; Viridiplantae; Streptophyta; Magnoliopsida; Poales; Poaceae. The record is from RNAcentral.
AUGAUUAGAGACAAUCUGAAGAAAGAGAUAUCUCCAUUGCUUGGUCUUUGCAUCCAGGCACCAAGAACAUCUCGUGCAAGUUUGAUAAAAGGAUCUCGUUCUCAAGCAAAUGCCUUGGCCCAACAAACUCUGAUCGCACAUUGGCAGAGUAUUGUGAAAAUAUUAACAAACGACCUGAAUGUUUUGAAAGCCAAUUAUGUCCCUUCAUUUUUAACCAGCAAGGUGUUCACUCAGAUAUUUUCGUUUAUUAAUGUCCAGCUGUUCAAUAGUCUGCUUCUCCAACGCGAGUGCUGUUCAUUUAGCAAGGAGAAUAUGUCAAAGCUGGAUUGA